Molecule: unclassified non-coding RNA, 305 nt
Filed under: plant metagenome
Description: partial contains 5.8S ribosomal RNA, internal transcribed spacer 2, and large subunit ribosomal RNA
Rfam family: 5.8S ribosomal RNA (bases 1-106)
Source: RNAcentral
GAAAUGCGAUAAGUAAUGUGAAUUGCAGAAUUCCGUGAAUCAUCGAAUCUUUGAACGCACAUUGCGCCCCCUGGCAUUCCGGGGGGGCAUGCCUGUCCGAGCGUCAUUUCUGCCCUCAAGCACGGCUUGUGUGUUGGGUGUGGUCCCCCCGGGGACCUGCCCGAAAGGCAGCGGCGACGUCCGUCUGGUCCUCGAGCGUAUGGGGCUCUGUCACUCGCUCGGGAAGGACCUGCGGGGGUUGGUCACCACCAUAUUUCACCACGGUUGACCUCGGAUCAGGUAGGAGUUACCCGCUGAACUUAAGC